GACGAACGCUGGCGGCGUGCUUAACACAUGCAAGUCGAGCGAUGAAGUUCUUUCGGGAAUGGAUUAGCGGCGGACGGGUGAGUAACACGUGGGUAACCUGCCUCAUAGAGGGGAAUAGCCUUCCGAAAGGAAGAUUAAUACCGCAUAAGAUUGUAGUUUCGCAUGAAACAGCAAUUAAAGGAGCAAUCCGCUAUGAGAUGGACCCGCGUCGCAUUAGCUAGUUGGUGAGGUAACGGCUCACCAAGGCGACGAUGCGUAGCCGACCUGAGAGGGUGAUCGGCCACAUUGGGACGGAGACACGGCCCAGACUCCUACGGGGGGCAGCAGUGGGGAAUAUUGCACAAUGGGGGAAACCCUGAUGCAGCAACGCCGCGUGAGUGAUGACGGUCUUCGGAUUGUAAAACUCUGUCUUCAGGGACGAUAAUGACGGUACCUGAGGAGGAAGCCACGGCUAACUACGUGCCAGCCGCCGCAGUAA
This 478-nucleotide ribosomal RNA is filed under the name uncultured bacterium. RNAcentral describes it as "partial 16S ribosomal RNA". It matches the Rfam family "Bacterial small subunit ribosomal RNA", at positions 28 to 523 of the family's 1533-position model. The record is from RNAcentral.